This 73-nucleotide transfer RNA is filed under the name Usnea ceratina. RNAcentral's name for it is "tRNA-Ala". It matches the Rfam family "tRNA". Rfam says of the family: Transfer RNA (tRNA) molecules are approximately 80 nucleotides in length. Their secondary structure includes four short double-helical elements and three loops (D, anti-codon, and T loops). Further hydrogen bonds mediate the characteristic L-shaped molecular structure. tRNAs have two regions of fundamental functional importance: the anti-codon, which is responsible for specific mRNA codon recognition, and the 3' end, to which the tRNAs corresponding amino acid is attached (by aminoacyl-tRNA synthetases). tRNAs cope with the degeneracy of the genetic code in two manners: having more than one tRNA (with a specific anti-codon) for a particular amino acid; and 'wobble' base-pairing, i.e. permitting non-standard base-pairing at the 3rd anti-codon position. Lineage: Eukaryota; Fungi; Ascomycota; Lecanoromycetes; Lecanorales; Parmeliaceae. The record is from RNAcentral.
GGGGCGUAGUUUAAAUAGGUAAAAUGUCUAUCUUGCACAUAGUUGUUGUGGGUCCGAUUCCCACCGCCUCCAA